CCACCCCCUGACCACUCCACUCCACGAUCCCCAUUCUCACCUUAUCCCCACCUUCCCCGCCCCCCUCCACAGUCGCCACCAGCGCACCUCCCGCCAGGAUCGCAGGCGCCCCUCCCACCCACCCGACGCACCGCCGCCACAAGCCCGAACUGCGCCGGAGGCCCCGCGACCCCGCGUGCCGCUGCUCCCGGCAACCUUGCGACUCGCGGCCAUCCACCGGCCUCCUUCCGCAGACCCCCGCAGCAAACCGGCCCAACGCCUCCUCCCGCAACCCCGCCGCCCGCCCCCGCCCAAAUCCAGCUGGACUACCCACCGCAGCCGACACCUGCCCCAUCCCGGAGCCGCCCUCGGAUCCCCUCACGAUGCCGCCGCCUCCUGGAUCCCAAAGCUCUGCGACUCCGCCAUCAUCCUGCUAGCCUCACCGGCGCCGGCUGGAGUCCUGGAUCCCCACCGCAGGACCUGCAUGCAGACGCCGUGCUCUCCCACCGCCGCCAGCCGCCCGUGUUGUACCUCACCCUCGGUUCCUCCAUUCUAGCCAUGUGCGGCCGUUCAACAAACUGGCCAACACCUCACAGUCGGUUCCCGCGACCCAGGUAACCGCCGGAUUGGUCAAGUCCCAACCCCCCUGUGAGAAGCUCGACGACGGCCUCCCUCGAUCCAGCACCACGCCAAUCAGUCCAACCGCCGCUGUGGCUGCAGUCCAGCCUCUCCUAGUCCCCUCUGCUGCCUGGGAUCAUGCACCGAUUUUCUACCUCAAGGACUAGCCAGCCGUUCAACUACACUAUCUAGCGUCGUCCAAAAAACUCACCUGACGCUGCCCAGCACAUGACGCCCCCAAGGUCCUUCAAUAUUGGAAAACAUGAGUUUUCUUCUCCAAAAUGCAUCAACGCCGUGGAGUGCUAAUUUCUCUUGGGUGCUUCACCAACAUGACGGACCAGCUCGGCCUAUUUUGCACAAGAAAAUCACACAAAAGUUUUUAGGCGGAAUGCAAUUCAGAGAUAAUGGGGAAACAAGGUACAAAGAUAUAUUUUUUUAGUACAUUCGGAGAGCAUUUUUAGUGCACUGUAGCCAAAUCCGCUCUGAAGACCAAACUACUGACGUUUGGUUGUGCUUUUAUUUUACACAAACAAAGUUGCUAGCGCUAGUAGAUCUUGGGAUAUGGGCACACACUGAAGAAGACGAAAAAGAAAAUGGUGAGUUGGAGAUUGCAAGUGGUUUCUCAAAGGA
Molecule: long non-coding RNA, 1227 nt
Organism: Triticum urartu
Lineage: Eukaryota; Viridiplantae; Streptophyta; Magnoliopsida; Poales; Poaceae
Source: RefSeq, a predicted model, not a curated record